Molecule: transfer RNA, 72 nt
Filed under: Penicillium chrysogenum
Lineage: Eukaryota; Fungi; Ascomycota; Eurotiomycetes; Eurotiales; Aspergillaceae
Also listed under: 4 other names
Description: tRNA-Sup (TTA) (tRNA-Sup-TTA-1-1)
Rfam family: tRNA
About the family: Transfer RNA (tRNA) molecules are approximately 80 nucleotides in length. Their secondary structure includes four short double-helical elements and three loops (D, anti-codon, and T loops).
Source: RNAcentral
GCAGUGGUAACUCAGCGGUAGAGUGUGAGAUGUUAGAUCUCAAGGACCCGCGUUCGAUCCGCGGUCACUGCU